RNAcentral lists this ribosomal RNA (478 nucleotides) under uncultured bacterium. RNAcentral's name for it is "partial 16S ribosomal RNA". It matches the Rfam family "Bacterial small subunit ribosomal RNA", at positions 28 to 523 of the family's 1533-position model. The record is from RNAcentral.
GACGAACGCUGGCGGCGUGCUUAACACAUGCAAGUCGAACGGUAAGGCCCUUCGGGGUACACGAGUGGCGAACGGGUGAGUAACACGUGGGUGACCUGCCUUGCACUUCGGGAUAAGCCUGGGAAAAUGGGUCUAAUACCGGAUAGGACCACUGCCUGCAUGGGUGGUGGGGGAAAGUGAUUGUGGUGGGGGAUGGGCCCGCAGCCUAUAAGCUUGUUGGUGGGGUGAUGGCCUACCAAGGCGACGACGGGUAGCCGGCCUGAGAGGGUGACCGGCCACACUGGGACUGAGAUACGGCCCAGACUCCUACGGGAGGCAGCAGUGGGGAAUAUUGCACAAUGGGCGCAAGCCUGAUGCAGCGACGUCGCGUGAGGGAUGACGGCCUGCGGGUUGUAAACCUCUUUCAGCACCGACGAAGCGCAAGUGACGGUAGGUGCAGAAGAAGGACCGGCCAACUACGUGCCAGCAGCCGCGGUAA